Molecule: transfer-messenger RNA, 344 nt
Filed under: Microvirga brassicacearum
Lineage: Bacteria; Pseudomonadati; Pseudomonadota; Alphaproteobacteria; Hyphomicrobiales; Methylobacteriaceae
Description: Microvirga sp. CDVBN77 transfer-messenger RNA
Rfam family: Alphaproteobacteria transfer-messenger RNA
About the family: Bacterial tmRNA, also known as 10Sa RNA or SsrA, is named for its dual tRNA and mRNA-like properties.
Source: RNAcentral
GGGCUAGCAAUGCGGCCCCCGUCACCUUAUAUCGGGGAGGUCAGGGCAACCUGGCUAUGAUCGUAGAGGCAGAGUGGAAUAAGCGUUUAGGACGCGGGUUCGAUUCCCGCCGCCUCCACCAUGAAAGCAUGACCGCCGUCGUUCGCAGACGGCAAAGGUGCUUUCCUGAUGGGGGCGACAUGGGUUCGACUAGGCGUGGUAAAGGCUAGGCUGCGAUUAGGCUGAGCUACGGCCUUAACAGUGCAAAUUCACAAAUGCCAACGACAACGUUGACAUGGGUGCGGUUCGCCUCGCGGCGUAACCAUCCGGGGCUCGGGAAAGCCUAGCAACAGAAACGGCACCUC